GGGGGUGACAUGGCUUCGACAGGGGUAGAAAGCCCUAAGCUGCACGCGCGCCUGGGCAAGCGCUAAAACGGCCCGCUAAAAAUAAACGCAGCAAAUAACAAAUCUUACAGCCCAGCAGUAGCUAGAGCUGCUGCUUAAUUAAGUAGUUUCGGGCGCCUCCGCCCACUGAGGCUUGCCACCGCCUCGGGCGGAGAGUAAAGAGUGGCUAGGAGUGUGACUCUCGGGUGUGGGUUGCACUCCGAAAACAAAAACACCCCUCUCUUCCGUAAGGCUUUGUCCGUUGAGCCUGGAAGAGCAGUAUAAUCAACGGACUAAGCGUGUAGACGCUUAGGGUAAUCUACUUCUGGACUCGGGUUCGAUUCCCGACACCUCCACCA
This 377-nucleotide transfer-messenger RNA is filed under the name Caminibacter pacificus. RNAcentral's name for it is "Cetia pacifica Standard tmRNA". It matches the Rfam family "transfer-messenger RNA". From Rfam's summary of the family: Bacterial tmRNA, also known as 10Sa RNA or SsrA, is named for its dual tRNA and mRNA-like properties. Lineage: Bacteria; Pseudomonadati; Campylobacterota; Epsilonproteobacteria; Nautiliales; Nautiliaceae. The record is from RNAcentral.